RNAcentral lists this ribosomal RNA (492 nucleotides) under uncultured bacterium. RNAcentral's name for it is "partial 16S ribosomal RNA". It matches the Rfam family "Bacterial small subunit ribosomal RNA", at positions 28 to 507 of the family's 1533-position model. The record is from RNAcentral.
GAUGAACGCUAGCUACAGGCUUAACACAUGCAAGUCGAGGGGAAACGGCAUCGAAAGCUUGCUUUUGAUGGGCGUCGACCGGCGCACGGGUGAGUAACGCGUAUCCAACCUGCCCAUCACUUGUGAAUAACCUUGCGAAAGUAAGACUAAUGCCCAAUGACAUCCCACGAAGGCAUCCGAAUGGGAUUAAAGAUUUAUCGGUGAUGGAUGGGGAUGCGUCUGAUUAGCUUGUUGGCGGGGUGACGGCCCACCAAGGCAACGAUCAGUAGGGGUUCUGAGAGGAAGGUCCCCCACAGUGGAACUGAGACACGGUCCAAACUCCUACGGGAGGCAGCAGUGAGGAAUAUUGGUCAAUGGGCGAGAGCCUGAACCAGCCAAGUAGCGUGCAGGAUGACGGCCCUAUGGGUUGUAAACUGCUUUUAUAAGGGAAUAAAGUGGGUCACGUGUGACUGUUUGCAUGCACCUUAUGAAUAAGGACCGGCUAAUUCCGUG